This 452-nucleotide ribosomal RNA is filed under the name uncultured bacterium. RNAcentral's name for it is "bacterial SSU rRNA". It matches the Rfam family "Bacterial small subunit ribosomal RNA", at positions 335 to 799 of the family's 1533-position model. The record is from RNAcentral.
ACUCCUACGGGAGGCAGCAGUGGGAAGGUCUUGGACAAUGGGGGCAACCCUGAUCCAGCCAUGCCGCGUGAGUGAUGAAGGCCUUAAGGGUCGUAAAGCUCUUUCGCCUGUGAUGAUAAUGACAGUAGCAGGUAAAGAAACCCCGGCUAACUCCGUGCCAGCAGCCGCGGUAAUACGGAGGGGGUUAGCGUUGUUCGGAAUUACUGGGGCGUAAAGCGCGCGUAGGCGGACCAGAAAGUUGGGGGUGAAAUCCCGGGGGCUCAACCCCGGAACUGCCUCCAAAACUCCUGGUCUUGAGUUCGAGAGAGGUGAGUGGAAUUCCGAGUGUAGAGGUGAAAUUCGUAGAUAUUCGGAGGAACACCAGUGGCGAAGGCGGCUCACUGGCUCGAUACUGACGCUGAGGUGCGAAAGUGUGGGGAGCAAACAGGAUUAGAUACCCUGGUAGGAUAGCG